RNAcentral lists this ribosomal RNA (356 nucleotides) under Amblyomma americanum (Lone Star tick). RNAcentral describes it as "partial 12S ribosomal RNA". The record is from RNAcentral. Lineage: Eukaryota; Metazoa; Arthropoda; Arachnida; Ixodida; Ixodidae.
AGCGGUUAAACAAAAAAGAUUUUUUUUUAUUCUAUUAAUGUAAAAUUAAUCUUUAGGGAAAAAAUUAAUAAUUAAAAAAGGUGAAAUUUUUUAGUUAGUUUAAUAAAACAUUUAAAUAAAAACUCCAUUUUUAAAAACUAGGAUUAGAUACCCUAUUAUUAGGAAUAAUUCAUUGUUAGUAAAUAUUAAAUACGAAAACAAAAAAUUAUGGCGGUAUCUUAAGCUUUUCAGAGGAAUUUGCUCUUUUAUGGAUAAAACACCUAAAUCUUACUAAAAUUAGCAAGUUCAGUUUGUAUACCACUAUAAAAGUAAUAAUUAGUUAUUAUUACUUAAACUUUUAAUUUAAAAAGAAAAUU